Molecule: small nuclear RNA, 72 nt
Organism: Heterocephalus glaber (naked mole-rat)
Lineage: Eukaryota; Metazoa; Chordata; Mammalia; Rodentia; Bathyergidae
Gene: U2
Rfam family: U2 spliceosomal RNA
About the family: U2 is a small nuclear RNA (snRNA) component of the spliceosome (involved in pre-mRNA splicing). Complementary binding between U2 snRNA (in an area lying towards the 5' end but 3' to hairpin I) and the branchpoint sequence (BPS) of the intron results the bulging out of an unpaired adenosine, on the BPS, which initiates a nucleophilic attack at the intronic 5' splice site, thus starting the first of two transesterification reactions that mediate splicing.
Source: Ensembl
AUCACUUCUCAGCCUUUUGGCUAAGAUCAAGUGUAGUAUCUGAAUAAUUUAUUAUAUAUCAAUGAAAUAUAU